RNAcentral lists this ribosomal RNA (478 nucleotides) under Methylophilales bacterium enrichment culture clone NPHTC-007. RNAcentral describes it as "bacterial SSU rRNA". It matches the Rfam family "Bacterial small subunit ribosomal RNA", at positions 14 to 483 of the family's 1533-position model. Lineage: Bacteria; Pseudomonadati; Pseudomonadota; Betaproteobacteria; Nitrosomonadales. The record is from RNAcentral.
UGAUUAUGGCUCAGAUUGAACGCUGGCGGAAUGCUUUACACAUGCAAGUCGAACGGCAGCAUAGAGAGCUUGCUCUCUGAUGGCGAGUGGCGAACGGGUGAGUAAUAUAUCGGAACGUGCCUAGUAAUGGGGAAUAACUAGCUGAAAGGUUAGCUAAUGCCGCAUACGACCUACGGGUGAAAGCAGGGGAUCUUCGGACCUUGCGUUAUUAGAGCGGCCGAUAUCUGAUUAGCUUGUUGGUGGGGUAAUGGCCUACCAAGGCGACGAUCAGUAGCUGGUCUGAGAGGACGAUCAGCCACACUGGAACUGAGACACGGUCCAGACUCCUACGGGAGGCAGCAGUGGGGAAUUUUGGACAAUGGGGGCAACCCUGAUCCAGCCAUUCCGCGUGAGUGAAGAAGGCCUUCGGGUUGUAAAGCUCUUUCGCAAGAGAAGAAAACUUGCUAUCUAAUAAAUAGUAAGUAUGACGGUAUCUGAC